Molecule: ribosomal RNA, 253 nt
Filed under: uncultured bacterium
Lineage: Bacteria
Description: partial 16S ribosomal RNA
Rfam family: Bacterial small subunit ribosomal RNA
Source: RNAcentral
UACAGAGGUCUCAAGCGUUGUUCGGAUUCAUUGGGCGUAAAGGGUGCGUAGGUGGCGCCGUAAGUCAGGUGUGAAAUUUCGGAGCUUAACUCCGAAACUGCAUUUGAUACUGCGGUGCUUGAGGACUGGAGAGGAGACUGGAAUUCACGGUGUAGCAGUGAAAUGCGUAGAUAUCGUGAGGAAGACCAGUGGCGAAGGUGGGUCUCUGGACAGUUCCUGACACUGAGGCACGAAGGCCAGGGGAGCAAACGGG